UGGGGAAUUGUUCGCAAUGGGCGCAAGCCUGACGACGCAACGCCGCGUGGAGGACGAAGAUCUUCGGGUCGUAAACUCCUUUCGAUCGGGAAGAACGGCUUCCGGCCUAACACGCUGGAAGAGUGACGGUACCGAGAGAAGAAGCCCCGGCUAACUCCGUGCCAGCAGCCGCGGUAAUACGGGGGGGGCAAGCGUUGUUCGGAAUUACUGGGCGUAAAGGGCUCGUAGGCGGCCAACUAAGUCGGAUGUGAAAUCCCCAGGCUUAACCUGGGAACUGCAUUUGUGACUGCAUCGCUGGAGUGCGGCAGAGGGGGAUGGAAUUCCGCGUGUAGCAGUGAAAUGCGUAGAUAUGCGGAGGAACACCGAUGGCGAAGGCAAUCCCCUGGGCCUGCACUGACGCUCAUGCACGAAAGCGUGGGGAGCAA
RNAcentral lists this ribosomal RNA (425 nucleotides) under uncultured bacterium. Its description in RNAcentral is "bacterial SSU rRNA". It matches the Rfam family "Bacterial small subunit ribosomal RNA", at positions 355 to 771 of the family's 1533-position model. The record is from RNAcentral.